ACUUUUCCAAACUUUACCACAGUUAACUAAUGGGAGGUUAAUGUUGUACAUUAUGGAUCCGUGUUUAUCCUCCAACGUAUUUAUCCACAAUGCGUGCACAUUUAGGUCUGGGUUAGAAUGAGGAAGUAUGUGUAUUGCAGACUCUCAUUAAUUCAUAACGGCUUAAAUUGUGAUUUUUAUUUGGCAUCCUACUGUGGAACCCAGUUGAGAAUGCCGAACUACUCAGCUAAACAUUUUCAAAUCCGUGACUCUCCAUCUGGUUAUUCAAUCAGAACAAAAUCCCUGCAAAGAAAAUCCUCUUCCUAAAAUGUACCCCAUUUUCCUGGCUAAGAAUCAUUCUGAAGAAAUGUGAACAGUUUGCCUAGUUGUUCAAGGAGUUUAUUUGCAGGAAAAACUAACACUAUAAAUAUCAACAGCACUUAAAUGGAAGUGAAGAAAGAAUUCCCUCAUCCUGCAUAAUGGCAGGCUUGUUAGAAAUAACUCCACAGAGAAAAUGAAAAUGUUGCAUUUAUUAUUUUGGAGCAUUUUUUGAAAACUUAAAGUCACCGUAACACAAUCUCACAUGACUCCACUGACAUUUAAGGAAGAGCUACAUUAAUAGCAUCAUGUUUUACUAAAAGUUCAACACAAUGGUACUUUCCACCUAACACCAUGUAAGGUCUUCAUAAAAAUGAAUUUUGCUCUAAAGAAGCCAGCAUAUUCUUGUAAGGGUAAACAACGCUACCAAGCAAGAUGCUUAGACACAGUUAUCUAUAAUAAAUAUGUCAAAUGAAUACUGAAAUAUCCCACUCACAGUUCAUGGGACUUCUGUUCCUAAAAAAAGGUAGAGGAGUAGAUUCCCACAUUAAAUAGCUUUUAAAGGGCCUUUUAUAGAGAUACUCUAUUAUGUUUUAAAUGUGUUUUUCAUUGCUUUAGUUCAUUGACUAUUCCUGUCUUAGAGAAGAAUGGGAAAGUAAACAUUGCAAUUAUUCUUUUCUUCUUCAAAGAUAAGUCUGCUUCCAAUUAGAGAAUAUUAGAUAAAAGAAGAUUUUGGGGGGUGUGUGACCAUGGAAAAGUGAUAGGAAUUGUAUGGGUUAGAAUUAGCAGGCUUGGCUAUAACGUUAAAUAGAAUAAACAUCAUGUAAACAUAAGAUGUUGGAAAGCAUCUUGUGUUUUUAAAUAAAAAGUGGUUCUGUAAUUCCUUUACCAUUAGGAUAGAGAAAAAAAAUAUUUAAGGGGAAAAGAUAAAAGUCACCUUGAUUCACUUAUAAAGAACUAUGACAAGAGGUUAUAAAAUAAUUUUCUCCAAGAUGACUAUUACCAGUUAUUUCCUUCCAUGGAUGUGCAAACAUUCCUCCUUUGAAAAUUGGAGUCUAUUCUUCUAUGCUUUUGGAUCUGGGCUGGUCUAUAACUACUAUGAUCAAUAGAAUAUGACACUGUAUACCUCCCAGAUUAGGUUAUAAGAAGACUUGUAGCUUCCAUCUGGCUUCCUGGAAUACCCACAUCUAGGGGAAGCCAAUCAUCACAUAAGUCCAACUAUGGAAGUUUCCAUCAGAUGUGGCUCAGAUCUGGCGUGGCUAUGGCCAUGGCAUAGGCCAGUAGCUACAUCUCCAAUUCAAUCCCUAGCCUGGGAACUUCCAUAUGCCACAGGUGCAGGCAUUAAAAAAAAAAAAAAAAAGACCAACUUCUCUAAGAGUGCUGUGCUACAAGGAAACCCAAGAAAGCCACACAAAGAGGCCCUUUAAAAGAGAAAUGUCCAACCAGUCAUUAUAGUCUUGCACCAGACCUGUGAGUUAAGAAGUCUUCAGAGGAAUCUAGCUUUAUCAGCUUCUAGUGCACUCCAAGUGAGAGCAGCCUUACUGAACCUAUCAACCACCAGAUAUAGGAUACAUAGUAACAAACUGUUAUUUUAAGUCAUUCCAUUUUAGCAAGCUAAAGAACACCGCACAAAAUCACCAUCAGUCAGGUUUUCAGAAUGACAUUUUACAUUAUUCUAUUACUGAAUACUUUAAAAAAGUGAGAUUUUAGAAUAAUAUAAAGUAGGAACCAAACUAAUGUUCACUAUUCUACAAGUUGCUAAAAUGAGAAAACUGAGAGUCAUGUUAUACUCUCCCCUUUAAUUCAGUCCCCUCAUCCAAUCAACACAUUCUCCAAUUAACCUCCCUAAUAUUGCCUGAUUCUACAUACUCCUCCUUGUCCACAUUGCCAUUGCCUUAUAUAACAUUUGAAGUUAACAUUUAAAGGACACAACUAAUAUUCCCUCCUUCAGACCAUUUAAGCCCCCUUUGUAGCCCAGCUCUAUCAUUUAAAAUACAACCCCGUAUCUAUCUAUCCCUCACAUUACUACCCUAAUUGUCUUUUUACGGCAAUGCAAGCCUCUCAUCUUUCUACCUAAAAAUCCUCCAACAGCUCUCAGUAACUGCUACAGCGGAUUUUAAAUUUCUUAAUCUAACACAUGAGGGCCUUCAUGAUCUGGCAUCCUCCUGCCUCUCAAGCCUCAUCCCUACCAUCUCCUCCCCAUAUGUUUAUCCUACCAUAAUUAAACUUUUGUAGCCAUCUGAGAGAGUUUGGUACCUCACUCCUAUUUGCCCAAAUGCUCUAUAUUCUGCUUACUACACUCAUCCCUCUGCUUCUCCAGCUAACUCCUAUUCGUUCUUCAAAAUUAAGCUCAAGCAACAUCUCUUUUAAGAAGGCUUCCCUGAAGUGGUCUACUGGAUUACUGAAAACCAUGAUAUUUUCAUUUAUACAGUGAAAAUCAUAAAUAUUACUUCCAGGAGUUCCCGUCAGCUCAGUGGUUAACAAAUGUGACUGGGAACCAUGAGGUUGCGGGUUCGAUCCCUGGCCUUGCUCAGUGGGUUAAGGAUCCAGCGUUGCCGUGAGCUGUGGUAUAGGUCACAGACGUGGCUUGGAUCCCGAGUUGCUGUGGCUCAGGCGUAGGCUGGCAGCUACAGCUCCGAUUAGACCCCUAGCCUGGGAAUGUCCAUGUGCCAUGGGUAUAGCCCUAGAAAAGACAAAAAAAAAACCAAAAAAUUAAAAAUAAAUUAAUUAAUACAUAAAUAAAUAUUACUUCCAACUAUGAUUUGAAAAUUGUUUCUCUGAGGAGGGGCACACAAUUCAAGCCAGAGGCAAAGGAGCAGCUUUUCAGAGGAGGUCAACUUGCCAUACAGAGUGGACUGCAGGCAUAUCCUAGCAGAUGGAGAAGCCUUCAAAAAGGUAUGUAGAAGUGGGAGAAACUGAGAGUUCAGGAAGCAUAAAUAGAUCAGUGUGGUGAAUGUUUCAUAUUCUGAGAGCAGAAUGUAAGGUUCUUAUGAUGAGCAGAAGCCAGAAGUUGGGGGGCUCUGGGAAGGACAUUAUACUUUAUUGGGUGGGCACUGAGGAGCCAUUAUAAGCUUGAAACCGUAAGAGAAACAUUGGGGUUACAUGUUAGGAAGCUUAGUUGUGGAAAACUGAUUAAAGGAGGGAUAUAGAGAGCAGAGAGGAAUGGUUAAGAGUCAAAUGCAGUAAUUCAGGUAAAUUUAAAAGACACAGAGUUAGAUUUCACAAGAUUUGUUAACUGUAUAUAAAGGAGGGGCAGCUAGAAUCUCAGAACUUUGCUCUGUGUCAUUUUGUGGAUGGGGAUGCCAAAUUAACACAAAAUUAAUUUUCAAGGAUUUUUGAGAAAUUAAUCAUCUAUUUUGAGCUAAUUAGAGAUGUUUUGUAAUAUAAGAGGCAUGAUGUUUUGAAAGAGAUGUUUCUGACACUAGUGUCCAUUUGCUAUGAAACAGUCAUGAAAUGUAAUUCUUUUGGAUUAUGCAAUGGAUUCUCUGUGUGAUCCCAAAGUGUCAUUAAACUUUCUGCAAUCUUGCAAAAUUUCCUAUACUAGUAAGAAAAAAAUACAUGCCACCCAGAUAAUUCAAUGAAACACCUCAAAAGUAAAUUUGACUGUGUGGUCAUUUCUGUUUCCUAAAGGCAAA
RNAcentral lists this long non-coding RNA (3932 nucleotides) under Sus scrofa (pig). RNAcentral describes it as "lncRNA (ENSSSCG00015028664.1)". Lineage: Eukaryota; Metazoa; Chordata; Mammalia; Artiodactyla; Suidae. The record is from RNAcentral.